ACUCAAAUGAAUUGACGGGGACUUGCACAAGCGGUGGAACAUGUGGUUCAAUUCGACGAUAAACGAAGAACCUUACCAGGCUUAGACAUCCAGACGAAUACUCUAAGAAACUAGAGUAGCCGAAAGGCGGCUGGACAGGUGCUGCAUGGCUGUCGUCAGUUCGUGGCUUGAGCUGUUCCCUUCAGUGGGGUAACGAACGCAACCCCUGUUGUCUGUUACAAGUAUCAGACGAGACCGCCCAGCCCCUAGCAAAUGAAAAUUUCAUUUCUUAGGGGCUGGGAGGAAGGUGGGGAUGACGCCAAGUCAGCAUGGCCCUUUGACGGCCUGGGCUACACACGUGUUACAAUCGCAUCUACAACGGGACGCAAUGACGCAAGUCGGAGCAAACCCUUAGAAAAGAUGCGCCAGUUCGGAUUGAGGUCUGCAACUCGACCUCAUGAAGCCGGAAUCGCUAGUAAUCGCGGGUCAGCUAUACCGCGGUGAAUACGUUCUCAAGUCUUGUACACACCGCCCGU
This 515-nucleotide ribosomal RNA is filed under the name uncultured bacterium. RNAcentral's name for it is "partial 16S ribosomal RNA". It matches the Rfam family "Bacterial small subunit ribosomal RNA", at positions 899 to 1397 of the family's 1533-position model. The record is from RNAcentral.